UAGAAUCCAACAUGAGGUUUCGUUCCUUCCCUCUGCAGCCACAAGGGGCCUCUGGCCACAGCAGUGCCCAUCAGCUGUGCCAGACAGAUGUGUUCCAUUCUCUGUUCCUGCUCCUGGGGGUCACAAUGGGGACUGGAGGAGCUGCUGGUGUGGCAGGAGCAGUGGCCACCCAGGCACUCCACAACUUUUCUCCAGACUGCCACACUGGCUUACUCAGCUCUGACCACCAGAAACAUUACUCCAGUGUCCCACCACUCUGGACAAGUGGGAAGAAAACAAGCAGCAAACAAGGCAGACAAAAUUGGAAGUAAUCACGAAAAUAUAGGGCGUUGAGGGAG
Molecule: long non-coding RNA, 338 nt
Filed under: Corvus moneduloides (New Caledonian crow)
Lineage: Eukaryota; Metazoa; Chordata; Aves; Passeriformes; Corvidae
Description: lncRNA (ENSCMUG00000018281.1)
Source: RNAcentral